ACGCUCGACACCUACGGGAGGCGGCAGUGGGGAAUAUUGCACAAUGGGGGAAACCCUGAUGCAGCGACGCCGCGUGAGCGAAGAAGUAUUUCGGUAUGUAAAGCUCUAUCAGCAGGGAAGAAAAUGACGGUACCUGACUAAGAAGCCCCGGCUAACUACGUGCCAGCAGCCGCGGUAAUCUGAGCGGGCUGGCAAGGC
This 198-nucleotide ribosomal RNA is filed under the name uncultured bacterium. Its description in RNAcentral is "partial 16S ribosomal RNA". It matches the Rfam family "Bacterial small subunit ribosomal RNA", at positions 328 to 539 of the family's 1533-position model. The record is from RNAcentral.